UAAUACGUAGGGGGCAAGCGUUGUCCGGAAUCAUUGGGCGUAAAGCGCGUGUAGGCGGCUCGAUAAGUCUGCUGUGAAAGUCCAGGGCUCAACCCUGGGAUGCCGGUGGAUACUGUCGGGCUCGAGUCCGGAAGAGGCGAGUGGAAUUCCUGGUGUAGCGGUGAAAUGCGCAGAUAUCAGGAGGAACACCAAUGGCGAAGGCAGCUCGCUGGGACGUGACUGACGCUGAGACGCGAAAGCGUGGGGAGCAAACAGGAUUAGAUACCCUGGUAGUCCACGCCGUAAACGAUGGGCACUAGGUGUGGGGGGUGUCGACUCCCUCCGUGCCGAAGCUAACGCAUUAAGUGCCCCGCCUGGGGAGUACGGCCGCAAGGCUA
This 377-nucleotide ribosomal RNA is filed under the name uncultured bacterium. RNAcentral describes it as "bacterial SSU rRNA". It matches the Rfam family "Bacterial small subunit ribosomal RNA", at positions 521 to 896 of the family's 1533-position model. The record is from RNAcentral.